CAGCAGCCGCGGUAAUACGAGGGGGGCAAGCGUUGUUCGGAAUUAUUGGGCGUAAAGGGUGCGUAGGCGGCUUGACAAGUCUUGUGUGAAAUCUAUGGGCUCAACCCAUAGUCUGCACGGGAAACUGUCGGGCUUGAGAAUGGGAGAGGUGAGUGGAAUUUCCGGUGUAGCGGUGAAAUGCGUAGAUAUCGGAAGGAACACCUGUGGCGAAAGCGGCUCACUGGACCAUUUCUGACGCUGAUGCACGAAAGCUAGGGGAGCAAACAGGAUUAGAUACCCGGGUAGUCCCUGUCUCUUAUAC
This 301-nucleotide ribosomal RNA is filed under the name uncultured bacterium. RNAcentral's name for it is "partial 16S ribosomal RNA". It matches the Rfam family "Bacterial small subunit ribosomal RNA", at positions 509 to 807 of the family's 1533-position model. The record is from RNAcentral.